This 516-nucleotide ribosomal RNA is filed under the name uncultured bacterium. Its description in RNAcentral is "bacterial SSU rRNA". It matches the Rfam family "Bacterial small subunit ribosomal RNA", at positions 28 to 589 of the family's 1533-position model. The record is from RNAcentral.
AACGAACGCUGGCGGCAUGCCUAACACAUGCAAGUCGAACGGACCCUUCGGGGUCAGUGGCGCACGGGUGCGUAACNCGUGGGAAUCUGCCCUUCGGUUCGGAAUAACUCGGGGAAACCCGAGCUAAUACCGGAUGAUGUCUUCGGACCAAAGAUUUAUCGCCGAAGGAGGAGCCCGCGUCCGAUUAGCUAGUUGGUGAGGUAAAGGCUCACCAAGGCGACGAUCGGUAGCUGGUCUGAGAGGAUGAUCAGCCACACUGGGACUGAGACACGGCCCAGACUCCUACGGGAGGCAGCAGUGGGGAAUAUUGGACAAUGGGCGAAAGCCUGAUCCAGCAAUGCCGCGUGAGUGAUGAAGGCCUUAGGGUUGUAAAGCUCUUUUACCCGGGAUGAUAAUGACAGUACCGGGAGAAUAAGCCCCGGCUAACUCCGUGCCAGCAGCCGCGGUAAUACGGAGGGGGCGUAGCGUUGUUCGGAAUUACUGGGCGUAAAGCGCACGUAGGCGGCUUUGUAAGUU